CUGAGGACCUUCCAGAGAUUAUUUUGUAGCCAAUCAGAGAGCGCCCCUUGACAUGACGUCAUUUUCCCGCGGACGCUAGGCUCUAGCACUUUUCCAUUCAUUUUCCCGCUCAUUUCUGAUAAUUCUGGCUUCUACGCCUGCGUUGAGUCCAGUUCAAAGGUUAAAUUACGUCAUAUCCGCCUUAGGAACAUUCUAGAACACAAAGGAAGCCUGAUUGUACGCAUUAUUUGCUGCACGAACCCGUCAGAAAGCGCGCUUCUCGACCGAAAUGGCAGAUAAAUCUCCAGGUUAAAAAUAGCGGGCGACCUUAUUGAGGGAUUCUCAAGAAAUUACAAGUUGUAUCAACAUUGCACGGAUGACCGGGAGUGUGUGCUGCACUGCAACAGCUGCUACAAGUGUUGCUACAAGUGAUGUUUCUUCACUGUAGUAUUUUGUUUUGGUUUGUAUAGUAUUUGGAUUUGUAAUGUAAGUACAUUAUCAUGAAAUGACACAUUGAUUAUAUACUUACCUUGCUUGAUAGUUGAUACCAUCUUCAGCGGAUGAGAAGACUAGUACUGGCUGAGGAAUCCCGGUCUCCAAUCUAGCUUAAAUAUGAUGUACUUCAUGUUCGAUUCUCACACUGCUAUGAGAAAGUCUACAUUUGAA
Molecule: long non-coding RNA, 645 nt
Organism: Branchiostoma floridae (Florida lancelet)
Lineage: Eukaryota; Metazoa; Chordata; Leptocardii; Amphioxiformes; Branchiostomatidae
Exons: 2
Source: RefSeq, a predicted model, not a curated record